GUUCUGUAAGCCUGUGAAGGUGUACUGUGAGGUAUGCUGGAGGUAUCAGAAGUGCGAAUGCUGACAUAAGUAACGAUAAAGCGGGUGAAAAGCCCGCUCGCCGGAAGACCAAGGGUUCCUGUCCAACGUUAAUCGGGGCAGGGUGAGUCGACCCCUAAGGCGAGGCCGAAAGGCGUAGUCGAUGGGAAACAGGUUAAUAUUCCUGUACUUGGUGUUACUGCGAAGGGGGGACGGAGAAGGCUAUGUUGGCCGGGCGACGGUUGUCCCGGUUUAAGCGUGUAGGCUGGUUUUCCAGGCAAAUCCGGAAAAUCAAGGCUGAGGCGUGAUGACGAGGCACUACGGUGCUGAAGCAACAAAUGCCCUGCUUCCAGGAAAAGCCUCUAAGCAUCAGGUAACAUCAAAUCGUACCCCAAACCGACACAGGUGGUCAGGUAGAGAAUACCAAGGCGCUUGAGAGAACUCGGGUGAAGGAACUAGGCAAAAUGGUGCCGUAACUUCGGGAGAAGGCACGCUGAUAUGUAGGUGAAGUCCCUCGCGGAUGGAGCUGAAAUCAGUCGAAGAUACCAGCUGGCUGCAACUGUUUAUUAAAAACACAGCACUGUGCAAACACGAAAGUGGACGUAUACGGUGUGACGCCUGCCCGGUGC
This 647-nucleotide ribosomal RNA is filed under the name Escherichia coli. RNAcentral's name for it is "partial 23S ribosomal RNA". It matches the Rfam family "Bacterial large subunit ribosomal RNA", at positions 1238 to 1869 of the family's 2925-position model. The record is from RNAcentral. Lineage: Bacteria; Pseudomonadati; Pseudomonadota; Gammaproteobacteria; Enterobacterales; Enterobacteriaceae.